GGCGGCGUGACCGAGUGGUCAGGUACCGGGCCUUGCAAUCCUGGGUAUGUCGGUUCGAGUCCGACCGCCGCCU
RNAcentral lists this transfer RNA (73 nucleotides) under Gammaproteobacteria bacterium. RNAcentral's name for it is "tRNA-Ala". It matches the Rfam family "tRNA". From Rfam's summary of the family: Transfer RNA (tRNA) molecules are approximately 80 nucleotides in length. Their secondary structure includes four short double-helical elements and three loops (D, anti-codon, and T loops). Further hydrogen bonds mediate the characteristic L-shaped molecular structure. tRNAs have two regions of fundamental functional importance: the anti-codon, which is responsible for specific mRNA codon recognition, and the 3' end, to which the tRNAs corresponding amino acid is attached (by aminoacyl-tRNA synthetases). tRNAs cope with the degeneracy of the genetic code in two manners: having more than one tRNA (with a specific anti-codon) for a particular amino acid; and 'wobble' base-pairing, i.e. permitting non-standard base-pairing at the 3rd anti-codon position. Lineage: Bacteria; Pseudomonadati; Pseudomonadota; Gammaproteobacteria. The record is from RNAcentral. RNAcentral also lists the same sequence under 1 other name.